AUACGGAGGGUGCAAGCGUUACUCGGAAUCACUGGGCGUAAAGGACGCGUAGGCGGGUUGGUAAGUCAGAUGUGAAAUCCUACAGCUUAACUGUAGAACUGCAUUUGAAACUACUAACCUAGAGUAUGGGAGGGGGAGAUGGAAUUAGUGGUGUAGGGGUAAAAUCCGUAGAUAUCACUAGGAAUACCGAAAGCGAAGGCGAUCUCCUGGAACAUAACUGACGCUAAGGCGUGAAAGCGUGGGGAGCAAACAGGAUUAGAUACCCUAGUAGUCC
This 274-nucleotide ribosomal RNA is filed under the name uncultured bacterium. RNAcentral's name for it is "partial 16S ribosomal RNA". It matches the Rfam family "Bacterial small subunit ribosomal RNA", at positions 523 to 796 of the family's 1533-position model. The record is from RNAcentral.